Molecule: long non-coding RNA, 3100 nt
Organism: Myotis daubentonii (Daubenton's bat)
Lineage: Eukaryota; Metazoa; Chordata; Mammalia; Chiroptera; Vespertilionidae
Exons: 2
Source: RefSeq, a predicted model, not a curated record
AAGAAAGAAAGAAAUGUCAGCUGAACUAAGUAAUAGUGUACUUGGUGAUGUAGUUGGUUUGCAUUUUGGCUACAAUUUUUAAUCUCAUUGCAAACUGAUAACAAACAGUUCUCAGACAGGCAGCCAGUCACGGACAACAUGAUUCAAUCAAUGAGAAGAGAUGUACAGUGAACCCUACCUCCGCAGCAGAUUAAUGCUGGCAUAUUACAUAUAAUAUAAAUUCUGAGAAUAAGGAAAGUUUAUGUGUAUAUUGUAUGGUGUUUUUUCUAAAAUACUUUAUCUCAUUUCAUCCUUAAUAAGCCUAUAAAAUAGACAAAGUGGCAUUACCCCAUACACAAGCUAAAAACAACACCUGGCCGGUGUUGAUAGGUGGUUUGAGUUCCACCCUGUGCACUGAAGGGUCUGGGGUUGGAUUCCCAGUUAGGUCACAUACCUGGGUUUCAGGUUCGAGCCCCGGAAGGGUGCAUGCACAUAAGGCAACUGAUCAAUGUUUCUUUCUUUUUUUCUCUCUCCCCCUCUACCUCACCCACUCCCUCUCUCUCCUCUUCUCUCUAGAAUCAAUGAAAAACAUAUUCUCACUUUUUAAAAACAGACAAUUAUGAACCAAAAGCAUCUGGGCCCAGAUCACCUAGCUAAUUUUAGAGGCAGAAUCUAGAACAGACCCCUUUAUCUCCUAUCCACUAAUGAAAACUGAAAAGUAAGGGCUAUUACUCAGAAGCUCACCUUUAGUGAUGCUGAGUGUGUUAUCACCACUUGCUACAAAAUCAUAAAGUGCAACAAAGAGAUUAGGAUCACUCUCAGUGGCUCCCAGCAAGUUUUCCUUGGAGCUCCACCUGAUGGCCUCGUUCAGUGCUUGGGGUUCAACAUCACAACCAUAGGGGCGGUGCAAGGCUUCUGAAAGACAUAAGAGGAAAAAGAAAUUCACAGUAAGUUCAUCUGAAAUUCACAGCUGGAAAUUCAUUUGAAUUCAGUAAGUACGCAGUAUUUUAGCUGCUGGCAUAGAUGGACGGCUCCAGGGAGGGACAUAACUAUACAGUUGUAGAAUAAUGAAGAAUGAGCAAAUGUCCCCUAAACCCAAGAGAAAUCUACUUGUUGAAAAUGUAACAAGAUAGAGAAAAGACAAAAUGAAAAGAACACAGUUAACUGUGAUUUAUAUGCAGUCACCUAAAUCAGAAACUAACAGGAAAAGCAGUUUUCUCAAAAUGGAAAGAAGAAAUCUCAAAAAGAACUGGCAAUUUGUUUUAUAAAAAUACAAUAUUUUGUUAUGGUGGAGUGGUGGUUUUAAGAAGGAAUAGUUAUGUUUUAUAAAUCCUCCCAAACUCCCCUCCUUCCCUUACUCUGUCCAUAUAAAACAAAUUGUGAAAAAGAUAACAGAUUUUAAGAAAUAUGUACAUAUUGUGUAAAUCCAGAUCCUCCAUUUACAUGUAAAAAUAGUGCUUCUAGAAAAAACAAUCCUAAAAUUACCUGUUAAACAACAGAAAAAUGUUUUGGUUUCAAACAAUAUUCUUACCAUUCCAAAAUAAUUUUGUGUUACCAUGCAACGCUGUCUAUAAUAGUUUACAAUUGUUGUUUUAAUGAAAAAAAUUCUACCCUAUUUUCUUUUCCUUGGUGAUACAUUUUUGUAAAAUAGGAACUUAAAUGAAUGCUCUAGAAAAUAUCACCAACAAUGUACAUUUAUUGAGUUUCUGUCAUGUGUAAUGGUGAAAGCCUUGUAAGACCUGGUUUCUUCCUCAAGGCUUUAUGGUUCUUAAGUUUAGUCAUACUAUACAAAACAUCUUUUUACAGCCCAGGUCAAUUAUACAAAAAAUACUCUGUUCUUCUAGUAGCAAUUUUCUUAAGAACUGGAAUUAUUUUUAGCAGCUAUGUGCCACUAAAUUUUCUAUUAUGUCUCUCUUUCUCCUCCAAUCAUUUUUAAUUUAAAACUGGUUUUUAUCAUAUUUACAGGAGAAUAAGCCUUUAAUCUGUGGUUUUAUUUCUUUUCAAAUCCAUUCCCUCCUCUCCAUCUCUAUAGCCAACGCCUUAGUUCAAAUCCCCAUCGUCUCUCACCUGGACUACUGCCUCCAGUCUUGUCUCCCUCAAAUCCAUCCUCCACACAGCUGGCAAAGUGAUCUAUUCAAAACAAAAAUUUGACCAUGUCACUCUUCUUAAGAUUAUUCUUCAAUAGUUUACCAUCAAGCUAAAAUCUCUUUAAUAUGGUCUUCAAGGGCUUUAAGAUCAGGUCUCUUAUUUCUCUAGCUUUACCUCCACCCACUCCACAUCUCAAAUUUUAAAUGUUAACAUACACUGUGAUGCUUCCUAUCUUUUUGCCUUUGUUCACACUGUCCAGUCUAUCUGGAAUGUGGUCUCAUUCCACACUUUUCUUGACUGGCUGACUCAUUUCAUAACACUCAUCUCCAGUAACCUCCCCUAAGAAGCCUCAUAGAUUCCUCCUCCUAGUGCUCUCAAAAAAAACAUUGCAUUUGCUGUAUUAAUACCUUCUAUCUUUAUCUUUCCUAUAUCCUCAAUUCAUGUUUGUCUCCCAAACCUUACAAAGUAUUCUUUGGCAUAAGAAUGGCACUUUUUCUUUCUAGCAAGGAGUUAUAUGUGUUCAAUAACUGUUGAUUGAAUGAAUGACCAAAUUACACAAAAACAUAAGUGACAGAAAACAAUGGCAUGUAUUUUAAUAUUAAAAUAGCAUUAACCAAUGUUUUAAAAAUGGCUGCAUCACUGUCUAUACAUGAAAUAGACAGAAAUCCCUGUUGUAGGUUGAUCUGUAAUUCUUAACAGUUUUAGAGUUUAUUUCACUUCAUCACAUUCCUUCUUCUCUUAAAAGAAAUAUGUAUUUAAAAUUCCACAGCUAAUUAAAUUUUAUUUUAAAUUUAGAAUAACUAUGACAAACCUAAAGAUAUGUCCAGAUGUCCUGACAGUUAAUUUGAAACAAUUGUGUUGCUCUUUGUUUAAAGGCAGAGUUAUAGUGACUGGGAAUUAGAAUUAUAAAAUGAACAAAACACUGUAUUAUAUGAAACAUCCUUUAAACUGGCCACAUGUUCUAUGUUAUUACUUAUUCUAAUGAAAAAUUAUCUACUUUAGCAGAAUUUUCAUUGGGUUAUGAAAUGACAAC